CGGAUUGGUGUUAUACAGUUUGGAUUGCCUGUUUCAUGCUGUUAAGAGGCAUGCAAAAGAAACUGGUGAAUGGCAAUGUUUAAGGCAGGACAUUAUUGAUUUGGGACAACCCAGCCUUCAAACUACAUAUAAGCUUGUGGUGACAUCACGAAUGGCGCGUGUCUACGAUUGCUUGCUUCCUUCAUUAAAACAGCCAUAGCUUUUUUCCUUUCUUCCCAUGAGUUUUACUAAACCCCUCCUCGAAAUAAAUUAUAAAAUAAGAAAAAAGGGAGAAAAAGCCGCUAUUCAUUAGUUGAAUGCUUCAAUUUUGCAAAUGUGGA
RNAcentral lists this unclassified non-coding RNA (320 nucleotides) under Hevea brasiliensis (rubber tree). The record is from RNAcentral. Lineage: Eukaryota; Viridiplantae; Streptophyta; Magnoliopsida; Malpighiales; Euphorbiaceae.